UCUAGUGAAGCGACGGACAUCGACGCCGA
This 29-nucleotide small RNA is filed under the name Bombyx mori (domestic silkworm). RNAcentral's name for it is "ovarian small RNA-3460". The record is from RNAcentral. Lineage: Eukaryota; Metazoa; Arthropoda; Insecta; Lepidoptera; Bombycidae.